UUGGAGGGCAAGUCUGGUGCCAGCAGCCGCGGUAAUUCCAGCUCCAAUAGCGUAUAUUAAAGUUGUUGCAGUUAAAAAGCUCGUAGUUGAAUUUCGGGAUUAGUACGUUGGUCGUGCCUUCGGUACGUACUGGUGUUACUGAUUUCUACCUUCUGACGAACCAUCAUGUCAUUCAUUUGGUGUGGUGGGGAAUCAGGACUGUUACUUUGAAAAAAUUAGAGUGCUUAAAGCAGGCUCGCGCUUGAAUACAUUAGCAUGGAAUAAUGAAAUAGGACGUUGAUCCUAUUUUGUUGGUUUCUAGGAUUGACGUAAUGAUUAAUAGGGAUAGUUGGGGGCAUUAGUAUUCAAUUGUCAGAGGUGAAAUUCUUGGAUUUAUUGAAGACUAACUACUGCGAAAGCAUUUGCCAAGGAUGUUUUCAUUAAUCAAGAACGAAAGUUAGGGGAUCGAAGACGAUCAGAUACCGUCGUAGUCUUAACCAUAAACUAUGCCGACUAGGGAUCGGAUGAUGUUAAUUUUUUAAUGACUCAUUCGGCGCCUUACGGGAAAC
This 548-nucleotide ribosomal RNA is filed under the name uncultured Glomeromycotina. RNAcentral's name for it is "SSU rRNA". It matches the Rfam family "Eukaryotic small subunit ribosomal RNA", at positions 548 to 1098 of the family's 1831-position model. Lineage: Eukaryota; Fungi; Glomeromycota. The record is from RNAcentral.